AGUGAACGCUGGCGGUAGGCCUAACACAUGCAAGUCGAACGGCAGCACAGUAAGAGCUUGCUCUUACGGGUGGCGAGUGGCGGACGGGUGAGGAAUACAUCGGAAUCUACUUUUUCGUGGGGGAUAACGUAGGGAAACUUACGCUAAUACCGCAUACGACCUACGGGUGAAAGCAGGGGAUCUUCGGACCUUGCGCGAUUGAAUGAGCCGAUGUCGGAUUAGCUAGUUGGCGGGGUAAAGGCCCACCAAGGCGACGAUCCGUAGCUGGUCUGAGAGGAUGAUCAGCCACACUGGAACUGGGACACGGUCCAGACUCCUACGGGAGGCAGCAGUGGGGAAUAUUGGACAAUGGGCACAAGCCUGAUCCAGCCAUACCGCGUGGGUGAAGAAGGCCUUCGGGUUGUAAAGCCCUUUUGUUGGGAAAGAAAAGCAGCAGGUUAAUACCCCGCUGUUCUGACGGUACCCAAAGAAUAAGCACCGGCUAACUUCGUG
RNAcentral lists this ribosomal RNA (492 nucleotides) under uncultured bacterium. Its description in RNAcentral is "partial 16S ribosomal RNA". It matches the Rfam family "Bacterial small subunit ribosomal RNA", at positions 29 to 507 of the family's 1533-position model. The record is from RNAcentral.